ACACUGAGGUUCAAAUACAGGUUGAUCAUCUGUAGGACCCAGGGUGUCUGUAAAAUGGGGAUGACAAGACCUACACUGUGAGUUCAUUGUGAGGAUCCCAAGGGAGCCAAAGAGUCAGUGUAGUUCCUGAUACUCAGAAACUGUCCCCAAGGGCAGUUGGAGUAGUGGCGCCUUGAGUUCUUGGAAAGCUCUCCCUGGUACCUUACACACACACGGGUCCCCUAUCUGUGGCAUUAGACAGAACUGUCAACUGUCAGUUAUCUUUUCCUGUGCACCUAUCUAUCUCCUAAUGGUCGUGGACCCUCUUGAGGACAGGGCUGGCUCUCACAUGCCUUUCUGCCUUGAAGAGAACUUUCAGGGGAUAUGCUCACUGGGUGGGCUGGCCAGAGGGGUCAUUGGGAGGAUCCUAGGAAGAGUCUGAAUCCCUACAGGGCCUUCUCUGCUCUGCUUCUUCUCGGUCUCACUUCAGAUUCUGACCGCUGGGUGCAGGGAGAGCCCUGACACUAAAAGAUCAUUUCAGAAGCUGCUUUCAGCCCCUCCUCCUAGUCAAAGGUGUGAAGAUGGAUAGCAUGACUAUCCAACCAGACAGAACAUGGGCUUCACUGCCAACUCCUCCACCAGUGAGCUACAGUCUUCUGGCCUCGGCAUCUGAGUUGCAAAAAUGGGAAUAAUAACACUUUCCUCAUAGGACUGCUUCUGGGAUGAAAUGAUAAGGCAGUAGAACCUAUUAAGUGGCACAGGACCUGGCACAUGUUAAGAGACCGAUUCCUGAGGGACAAGUACUGACGUAAGAAGCAGUAACCACCAACACAGUUAGAUGACUGCCGUGGUGAUCACCUCGAUGACCACCUUGAUGCUGGGGGACCCAAAGCCUGCACUGCAGCUGUUUCCAGGCCUGCGACAGAGAGAGAGAUGUGUAUCCAGGGGCAGGGAGCUGAUGACCUGUGUGUUGUGCCGAUGAUGUACAGCAGAUGUGACUGCCUGGACAGUGGUGAGGAGGCCGGCUCCAUGGAAAAAUCCUUGGCAGAGAAGCCCUAGUGCCUUCUGAUGGGAAACCAAACUAAGUGACAGCAGGAUGUGAAGAUGCCCUUUAUCUGCAGAGUGUAAGAGAUUUCCCUUCCUUCUCUUUCUUCCUUCCUUGCUCCCUCCCACCUCUCCUCCAACAUGUAUUUGCUGAGCAAUACAAAGAGGAUCAGAACACAGCAUAGGUCCUUCUUCUUAUAGUUCAUAGUGGAGAGGAGAGGUAAGACACAUGGAUAAGUAACAUUGUUCAUUUGAUUAAAAAAAAAAUCCUCACCCAAGGAUACAUUUAUUGAUUUUAGAGAGAGAGGAGGUGGGCGGGGGGUGGGGGCGGAGAUUAAUCAGUUGCCUUCUGUAUGCAUCCUGACUGGGUACAGACCUGCAACCUAGGUAUGUGUCCUGACAGAGGAAACUGUCGGUGCAUAGGAUGAUGUUCCAACCAACCAAGCCACGCCCGCAAGGGCUAUUUAUUUGAUUUUAAGAUGCACCCUCAAUAUGUCAAUAAUAACAGGUUUUCAGAAGAAAAAAAAUCAGAAACACUACCACACUAAAUGUACACAUUGCUACAAAACAUCUUGAUUUUAAAAACAUUCAAAUGUGAAAAAAAUGUGUUUUUAGAGUGGUCACACUAACCUAUUAGGAUGUAAAAAUGUGGGGAAAAUGUGUCUUUAAAGUAGUGGUUUACAGCAGUGUGAUCAUUGUCACAGCAGGAGUGGGUACAAAGUGCCAUUGGAACCCCCUGGACGAAGCUUGUAAAGCUGCCUGGGGACACCGAUCAGGCUUCAGCAGGAGGUGGUGCUGGAAGGCCGCCUUCUGGGAGAACAGUGGUAGACCAGGGUGGGUAAAGAGGCCAGAAGAGGGGGUUGGGGCAAGGGAGCAGCUUUGGCAGAGGAAGGAGACAAAGAAGAGGGUGAUGCAUUCUGGGAGCAGCUGCUGGUUCUCAUUGUGACUGCUAUUAUCAGCGGAAGGACAGAAGAGACCUUCAGUCUGGAGGGGCUGGGACGAGUUUCAUCAUAAGGACAGCACGGAAGGAGAUGUGGGCUCCCCGGUGCAAUAGGAUGAGGCAUCUCUGCUAAACUUGCUCACAUCUUGAACACUUUGUCUGUUUUCUAUUUACAUAAGGUAUAAACCAAUUGCCUAAUGCAAAAAUGAUGUGUUCUCACAUAGUAAGAAAAUACAACAGAUUUCAAUCAAUAGACUUGGAAUUUUUCAUUAAGUCUGCUUGCCUAUUUCCUUAAACCUUUUCUCCAGGGGAAGAAUACUCUUUUGAAGUGAUUGAUUGUGUUGUCUAUCUUCCCCUCCUCUCCCCACCCUCCCCCAGAACAUGUACCUCUUACAGCUUCUCUCUUCCCCCUCCCCCUCCUCCUCAGUUGUUGUAAAGAAUCUGCUCAGCUGCAACAUUAGGCAUGCCUCAAGGAAUACAUUUUUGUUCAGAUGUGUGUGUGUGUGCAUACACAUGUGAGGUUGUUUCUGAAGUGCAUCCUCACAAAAUAACCUUUGGGUAUUGGUAUGAUGAGGAUGCCAUUAGGAGGAAAUUCAUCUACGUUGGUUCCAGAGGUGGGGGAAGCUACUGCAGUGUUGAAAGAAAGCUCAAUAACCAGUCAGGAGAGUCCUUUCCGGGAAGGCCUGGUGGAAGAUGGACAGGACAGGAUUACUUAGGACAUUCUCCUGUGAUUCUCUUUGUCUCCCAGGGAAUGGCUGUUCUCCUGGGGCAGAGGAGCACCCCCUGGUCCUCUCUACAUUCACUCAAUAGCCUUUGGUGACAGAUGAAUUCCAACAUGUCUGAUUGCUGAGCUAACUGUCCAAGUGUGAAACUUAACUCCUUGUGAGAGCAAAUGGAUUGCAUGGUGAUACAGGUCAUGCACAGUGUGGUGAGCUCUGUGCAAGAGUCCCGUUUUGACUUGUUUUUCCCUUUUUACAUGUCUGUGUUAUGAAGUAAAGUCUUACAUACAUAGUAUGUUAUUCAUACAUUGUUCUUAUCCUGUGAAAUGCCGCACAUUAAAAAAAAAUACCCUUGUGGAAAACAGUGACAAUAUGAGAAAUGAGAACUAUUGUUUCUAGAAAGUCGUGAAGAGUCACAUGAAACAAUAGCUAAAUUCCAGGGAGGACAUGGCUCCUGAGAAGCUGCUGCAAUCCCCAUCUAUACAAAAGCUAAAAGAUGUUAAUAGAGCAAAAACUUUGGCUAAUCAUAAAACCUUCCUUGUUUUACUUGCCAUAAAAUUUAAUGAAUAAUUUAUACUUUAUUUAAUUAACAUACAAAUUAUUCCCUCCUAUGUAGAUUUGUCAAACAAAUUACUUAGGAACCACAAACAAAAUAUUGCAUUUCACAAAAUGUCAGUGGAAAAAAAUAUUUAAUUUUAGCUUUAUUUAUUAUUUAUUUUUUGCAGACCCAAUUUAUCUAGAGCUGGCAAAGAAAAGGAAGGUCUGAUGGAAACUGUAUACCUGGUUUCAUUUACAUUAGUGAAGCAAUGGGACAGAAAAGCUGUAAUGACUUUUCUUUUGCAGAAAAAUUCUUGAGAAUGGCAUUUUGAAGUCAGGAAGACUGAAAGUGUACUUCAGUCUCUCUAUUUAGAAAAUGCAUCUAAAGAAAAUGCAGAGUUUUUUGUGUAUUUAGAAAAGAAAGCUCAAUUUUAAAAAGCAAGGAUACUUCAAAAAUGUGGAUUUGCCAUUUCAUGAAAACCUUUUCUGAAAGUAUCUUUAAAAUUUUCUACCAGGUGCCAAACUAAAAAAGCUUCAUACUACUGGAGAAACUUUACCUGAAGACAUAUAGAUGGGAAAUACUGAGUGGCUGGAAGUGGCUCUUUAGACAAACAGAGUGCUUUCAACAACAGAGGGCAUAUUUUGAAGUUUGGUUAUGGAGAAAUUGGCAGCCUUGCCAUUCCCCUCAGUAAGUAACUUGAAACUACAGAUGUCUUUCAACAUAGACAUGUCCUUGUUCUGUUCAUGAUGACCCUGCUAAUGUCAACAAAGAGGAGUUCUUGUUUUGUGGAUACCUUUGCAAACUGCAAAGACCACCGACAUUUUAGAAAUGGUGUAAAAUUUGUUUUAAAGCUUCAUAUUCUUGCACAGGAGCUCCUGCAAUGCUUGAUUGGGCGUCUGAUGUUAUUGUAGUGCAAAAGGAAGCACUUCAUGAUGUAAUCACUUGCUGCAUUUAAUACAGGCAUAUUCUGGCUUUUCCAAAAAUCCUGAGAGAGAAGUUCUGUCGGCAGCCAUAAAAGUCAUCAACUUUAUCAAAAGCUGGUCUUUGAGUCAUAGUGUUUUUAUAGGUUUUGUCAAGAAAUUGUAGCAGAGCAGUUUGAAUCGUGGUGCGAUGGAGUAGGCGGUGGGGUCUUGCUGGGUGUCUGACUAGCCCUUUUCCUGCCUUGCUUGUUUGAGCUUCAGCAGAA
This is a long non-coding RNA of Pteronotus mesoamericanus, 4406 nucleotides long. RefSeq lists it as uncharacterized. The transcript is spliced from 4 exons. The record is from RefSeq and is a predicted model, not a curated record. NCBI's taxonomy places the organism in Eukaryota, Metazoa, Chordata, Mammalia, Chiroptera, Mormoopidae.